UACGUAGGUGGCAAGCGUUGUCCGGAUUUACUGGGCGUAAAGAGCGCGCAGGCGGUCGUUCAAGUCGCGUGUGAAAGCCCCCGGCUCAACUGGGGAGGGUCACGCGAUACUGAUCGACUGGAAGGCAGGAGAGGGUAGUGGAAUUCCCGGUGUAGUGGUGAAAUGCGUAGAUAUCGGGAGGAACACCAGUGGCGAAGGCGGGUCUCUGGGCAGUAACUGACGCUGAGGAGCGAAAGCGUGGGGAGCGAACAGG
Molecule: ribosomal RNA, 253 nt
Filed under: uncultured bacterium
Lineage: Bacteria
Description: partial 16S ribosomal RNA
Rfam family: Bacterial small subunit ribosomal RNA
Source: RNAcentral